This 651-nucleotide ribosomal RNA is filed under the name Triticum aestivum (bread wheat). RNAcentral's name for it is "partial small subunit ribosomal RNA". Lineage: Eukaryota; Viridiplantae; Streptophyta; Magnoliopsida; Poales; Poaceae. The record is from RNAcentral.
AUGGAUGAGAAUAUACCAGCAAGUGGUUACCCAAGGAGUUCCCGCAAAAUAGUUAGUUGCUUCCAUCACUACAAAGUUGAAAUAUUCAAUGAGGUUCUUGACAGAAACAUAUCUAAGAUGAAUAACCGGUUCAGUGAAACUUCAACAAGAUUGAUAUGCAUUGCUAGUCUAGAUCCUAGAGACUCAUUUAGCAGAUUUAAUCAUGAGAACCUACUUGAGCUUGCAUCUAUGUACUCAGUCGAGUUCGAUCCAGAAGAACAAUAUCAUUUGGAUGGUCAGCUCAAGAUAUACAUUGAUAUGAUGAAAAGGUCUGAUGUUUUUUGCAGUUGUGGUAGUCUCGCUAAUCUUGCUCUCAAGUUGGUUGAAACUGAGGAACAUUUACACAUUCCUUUGGUUUACCGACUCAUCACACUUGCUUUGACUUUGCCAGUAGCGACAACAUCUGUUGAAAGAGUUUUCUCAGCCAUGAAUAUCAUUAAGACAGAUUUGAGAAAUAAGAUAUCUGAUGAUUGGUUGAAUGAUAUGAUGAUAUGCUAUGUAGAGCGAGAUAUAUUUGCUGGAAUUGAUGACAAGAAGAUCAUAGAACAUUUUCACAGCUUGAGAGACCGUAGAGGCCAUCUACCCAACCAUCCCCGUAUACUUACGACUUAG